UACGGAGGGGGCAAGCGUUAUUCGGAAUUAUUGGGCGUAAAGGGCGCGUAGGCGGCUAGAUGUGUCAAAGGUGAAAUCCCUCGGCUCAACUGAGGAACUGCCUUUGAAACUGUCUGGCUUGAGGCCGGGAGAGGGUAGCGGAAUUCCCAGUGUAGCGGUGAAAUGCGUAGAUAUCAGGAGGAACACCGAUGGCGAAGGCAGGUCUCUGGGCAUUAACUGACGCUGAGGAGCGAAAGCAUGGGGAGCGAACAGG
RNAcentral lists this ribosomal RNA (253 nucleotides) under uncultured bacterium. Its description in RNAcentral is "partial 16S ribosomal RNA". It matches the Rfam family "Bacterial small subunit ribosomal RNA", at positions 524 to 776 of the family's 1533-position model. The record is from RNAcentral.